RNAcentral lists this ribosomal RNA (468 nucleotides) under uncultured bacterium. Its description in RNAcentral is "partial 16S ribosomal RNA". It matches the Rfam family "Bacterial small subunit ribosomal RNA", at positions 28 to 507 of the family's 1533-position model. The record is from RNAcentral.
GACGAACGCUGGCGGCGUGCUUAACACAUGCAAGUCGAACGGAAAGGCCCUGCUUUUGUGGGGUGCUCGAGUGGCGAACGGGUGAGUAACACGUGAGUAACCUGCCCUUGACUUUGGGAUAACUUCAGGAAACUGGGGCUAAUACCGGAUAGGAGCUCCUGCUGCAUGGUGGGGGUUGGGAAGUUUCAGCGGUUGGGGAUGGACUCGCGGCUUAUCAGCUUGUUGGUGGGGUAGUGGCUUACCAAGGCUUUGACGGGUAGCCGGCCUGAGAGGGGGACCGGCCACAUUGGGACUGAGAUACGGCCCAGACUCCUACGGGAGGCAGCAGUGGGGAAUAUUGCACAAUGGGCGGAAGCCUGAUGCAGCAACGCCGCGUGCGGGAUGACGGCCUUCGGGUUGUAAACCGCUUUCGCCUGUGACGAAGCGUGAGUGACGGUAAUGGGUAAAGAAGCACCGGCUAACUACGUG